ACACUCUGGUUUCCCUUCAGAUCGUAUAAAUCUUUCGCCUUUUACUAAAGAUUUCCGUGGAGAGGAACAUUCAACCAUGUACAUUUACUUUGUUCUGUAACAGUAAUACCAACGAUGGUUU
Small nuclear RNA from Coregonus clupeaformis (lake whitefish), 121 nucleotides. RefSeq annotates it as U5 spliceosomal RNA. Lineage: Eukaryota; Metazoa; Chordata; Actinopteri; Salmoniformes; Salmonidae. The transcript has a single exon. The record is from RefSeq and is a predicted model, not a curated record.